This is a non-coding RNA of Microcebus murinus (gray mouse lemur), 3170 nucleotides long. The record is from RefSeq and is a predicted model, not a curated record. Lineage: Eukaryota; Metazoa; Chordata; Mammalia; Primates; Cheirogaleidae.
AUAUCACCAAAAUGUGGAAUGGAGAAGCAUUCAUUAUAGAGAAUACUUGAAGAAUGAAAAGGUAAAUAUUAUGGUUUCUGCCAAUCAGUAUAUUGGAAGCAGAAUUCCAUCCUGGUAUUUCCAGAACUGGCAUAUGAGAAAAAGCAUCUUAAUCUCCACUGAGGUAAGGAGGUCCAGCAAGAAUCAGGCUUUGUCUCAGUGGACUGGAGUCCUCAGCAUUGGUCCAUUAGGGAACUGGAAACUCAUGAUCAGGCUUAGGUGGUUGUAGCUCAGCACAGAUGGAGAAAGUAGAACUGACAAAAGCAGCACAGACAGAUCCUGUGACUUCCAGAGGCAACAUCACUUAGAGUUAUAUAUCAAACUUUGAUAUGGCACCACUUUAAGAGCUCUCGGUAUCUAAUGGUCUUAAGGUUACUGCUGAUUUGAUUUGAACUAGUGCCUCCUGCCAACAAAUAUAGGUCCCCUUUGACCCCACACUUAGGAAUUAUUGUGUCAAUGUGUUCUAAACACUCGUGAAUUUCCAUUAACAAAAGCAGCAUCCUCUUUCAAAACCCAAGAGUCAAGAUCUGGAGCCUAUCAAUAUUCUCAAUGGAAAUAAGCUUUUCAUUUAUUAACCUAAAUUUCAGGACAGGAAAAUGUAGCUUUGAUAGUUCUGUCAACAAAGAAGAUGGGAGGGAUAAAAGAUGACCAAGAAAAGGAUUGGGAAGAUACAAUUAAGUUGACACCCUCAUAACAUGCCUGAGUAUUAACAUUGACAAGUCAAUUUUGAGUUUUUUGUUAAAAUCAUUAGUCAGGAAACAUUCUCCACUUUACAAUUUGUUUUUAUUCAAAGUUCCAAAAUAUAGCCUAAUUUUUCUUAAAUAUUUCUGGCUUUCUACACCUCAAAAGAUACAUUCAAACUUCUUUUGAGUAGGACAAUGUGUUCUAUAUUAUAUAGCAUUUUCAAACAUACAUAUUUCUCACAUUCUUUUGUUGAAUAUCACUUCAUCCAUCUGACUCCUUUAGUUUGUGUGAACUAGCCCUCUUAGUCUACCAUAACUUACCCCUUUAUACCAUUCUGGGCAUUCACACUUAUAGCACUGUAUUAUAGUUGCCUAUUUCUUUGUCUGUAUCUCCCUCAAAGAUAGGCCAUGUCUAUUGCAUUCAUAUUUUAUACUGGUGCCUGCUCAGGGUUUGACACAUAGUAGGUGUUCAAAGAAUGGGUUCAAUAAAUGAUUAGUAAUAUUUUAAACUUUUCAUGCAUAAACUUUUCAGGUAAGCUAUUGAAGCUGUGUUAGUGUUGCCAAUAUAAUGAGAAAACAAUCUCUGGAAGAAAACUAUGAAAUGGCCUUCAGAUCUAACCAGAACUACAUGUGAGACGACAUAAAGACCAGCUGCUGGCACACGGUUAGAAAAUGACCUUGAGGAAAAUUAUGAGUCCAGAUAGGCCAACCUCAGAUUGCUCAUGACAAUAUCCACUGCUGAUAACCAUCUAGCAAAUCAAGAUUGUUACAAGCUCACGGUUCUUGGUCUCCGAGUCAGUAGAAAUUGGCACAAGACCAAACAAGGAAUUUAUACAGGGCCAAUGGGACUCCUACUCCAAUGGUUGUCACAUCCUGUUAAAGAAAGCAGAAAUACCUUCCAUUGAAGCUGGAUGUUAAUCAUUUUCGAAGCUUUUGUUCAGUAUUGUAAGCAGAUUAAGAUUUGGCUCAAGGCUCGGGCAGGUAACCAAAGUUCGCCUCCUAUACUAUUUCAUGAUGACUUGAACAAAGCUUGGUUUCUGCCACCAACCCCCUUUACCCUUUCCCUUUAUAAGUUGCUCAGUAAGCAGAGAUGAGAUGGUCUCUGAGACAAUCGUCGGCCAUCUCCUCAGGCUGCCUGCACUUGAAUGAACCACUUUUCCUUCACCAACACUUGCCUCCGUGUCUGGAUCUCAGGUGGCAGGCAGCCUAAUUUGUGUUCAGCAAGAUUUUCACCUAGCAAUGUGGGAUUGUAAUGAAAGAUAUCUAAUGGCCAGGAGGCUCUAUGAGAUCUUCAAAAAGGAGGUGUUAUUGGAGCUGAACUUGGAAAAAUGAAUAAGAUUCUGGGAAAUAAUUCAGGGAAGGGAAUUCUAGACAGAAGGAAACAUGUUUUCUGUAUAUACAUACAACUCAAAACAAAGUGUGUAGACCAAGCAUUUCAUUCAGAUGUCUUCCUAAUAUACACGGGAGAAAUAAUCAUUUAUUGCUCUGCUUAACACCUUGAUUCUGUUUUGUUUAAAUAUAGUUUCAGAAUCUAUGCAUUGCAAAAGUAGUUCUGGCUCAUUUAAGACCGAGGAUGUUCUGCCAGACUGAUGAGGUGGGGAAAAAACGGCUGGAAGCCUGCUAAAUUGUUAGAAAGGAGAUUAAUGUUAUGUAAAUGUAAGUAAUUAAUCAGCAAGCACCUAGAAACCAAAUACCUGAUGUGAAGAGCCAUUCUUUGAGAGGAGAAAAUUGCUCUCUUCUGAUUAAAAAUGGACUAUCAGACAGUAUUCAGAUUCAUCUUUUGCUUUUAACUUUUCCCAAGCUGUCUGGAGUUAAAUGUAAUUUUCCCCGACUCUUCCAUAUAAAGAGAAAAAAGGAGGUGCACUACUUGAGCUGAGAACCCAUGGCUAAAGAAAGGGGAAAGAGAACUGAGGACAAGAGCUGAGGACCAGUGGCGCUCCUGGAGCUCAGAGCUGUGGACUAAAGUCAGGCAACGAUGUUACCACUGACAACAGGACAUUCAAAACUCAUGAAAUUGCUAUUGGCAUCAUUCCCGACAUGGGCCAAGAGCCUUAUGGAGAACAAAGUCAAUGCACAAGAAAGUAGAUUCAGAGGCUGGAGCAAGAAUGACACGGUCUUGAAGACGUCAUUUGUGAUCCUGGCAUGAUUGCCUGUGACCUGUUCAACCCAUGUACUCCCCAACAAGCCCCCUCUAUUUUCUCAAACCAAGUUGAGUUGAAUUUCUGUUGCUGAAACAGCAACUGUUUUGACUAGUAGAAUGCAGAUAUCUCCAAAGGUUACUCAGAUUCCUAAAGUUGAUUAUUGUUUUUUGUCCUGAAAACUAUCUUGUCUAUAGACUGCCUUUAAGUGUUUAAUAAAAUUUAUUCAAACCUAUUAUGUGCCUGUAACUAUACAAGUCUUGGAGAAUAAAAAGAUGAAUAAAACUUAAUUUUUGCCUUCAUAGAGUAC